This 398-nucleotide ribosomal RNA is filed under the name uncultured bacterium. RNAcentral describes it as "partial 16S ribosomal RNA". It matches the Rfam family "Bacterial small subunit ribosomal RNA", at positions 523 to 918 of the family's 1533-position model. The record is from RNAcentral.
AUACGUAGGGUGCGAGCGUUGUCCGGAAUUACUGGGCGUAAAGAGCUCGUAGGUGGUUUGCCGCGUCGUCUGUGAAAUUCCGGGGCUUAACUCCGGGCGUGCAGGCGAUACGGGCAUAACUUGAGUACUGUAGGGGAGACUGGAAUUCCUGGUGUAGCGGUGAAAUGCGCAGAUAUCAGGAGGAACACCGGUGGCGAAGGGGGGUCUCUGGGCAGUAACUGACGCUGAGGAGCGAAAGCAUGGGUAGCGAACAGGAUUAGAUACCCUGGUAGUCCAUGCCGCAAACGGUGGGCGCUAGGUGUAGGGGUCUUCCACGACUUCUGUGCCGUAGCUAACGCAUUAAGCGCCCCGCCUGGGGAGUACGGCCGCAAGGCUAAAACUCAAAUGAAUUGACGGGG